This 1530-nucleotide long non-coding RNA is filed under the name Anolis carolinensis (green anole). Its description in RNAcentral is "lncRNA (ENSACAG00000032970.2)". The record is from RNAcentral. Lineage: Eukaryota; Metazoa; Chordata; Lepidosauria; Squamata; Anolidae.
AUGCGCAACAGAUGUUCCCAUAACCGUUCUGGCUGCCAUGUUUUGAACCAACUGGAGUUUCUGAACUUGGUACAGAGGUAUCCCAAAAGUACAACAAACUGCAGAAGUCCAGCCUUGAGGUUACCAGUGCAUGCACUACCCUUCUUAAGCCUUCCAAUUCUAGAAACGGAUGCUGCUGAUGUAUCAGUCGAAACUGAUAAGAACCCUGAUGCUGCAAAAGAUGACAAACCUCAGGAUUACAUAGGAUGGAACUAUGACAGUUAAAGUGGUGCCAAAGUGCUAGAAUUCUGCAGCAUGAAUGAGAAUCCUCUAUCUGAUUCUCCCCCCCCCCUUUUUUUCUGUAUAUGUUUGAGUAAGCAACUACAUUGAUUAUACAGGUUUGAUCAACUUAAGUCCUUGUGCAUGGUCUUUUGCAGUGAAAUCAAUACAAGAAAUGCCUUUAAAGGCAUUUAAAAGUUUUUAGUUGGAUGGCAACAUAUGGCAACAUAUGGCAUAUGAACUUCCUUUGUAUGGGGAAAGUAUUAUUUUUAAGAAACCUGAUUGCAGCCUGGAAAUUUAUUUUUGAUCUAUAGCACUGCAAAGCUCUGCAUAUUGAAGAUUAAAUUAACCAUUAAAUUAACACAGGCAGAAGCAAUAUCAUUUUUAUUUGAGAUGGUUACAUCAAAAUUCUUCACUUUUUUCCCAAAAGUUCCCUUUGUGCCUCUAUUGCAGUUGUAGUUCAGCCAAAUUAUUCUAUAAUUCAAAGGCCUUUGCUACCUCCUGUUAAAUAAUUCUUCAAAUUUCAUGUUAAACGAGGAUCUGCCAGGAAAGAAAAAAAAAACCAGAUGAAUAAAAAAUAGAUUCUUGGCUGCUUCAAAUCAGACCAAUUUUAUAUUUGUAACAGAUCUCCCCACUCCAAAACAAAGUACAUUUCUCUUCAUAUCAAUAAAGCUGAGCAGAGAAUAUUUGUAUUUCUUAGUAAAGCUUUCAAUUACCACUUCCCAUCUGUCACAGGAUGCAUUUGAGUUCAGCUAUGGGCUCUGAAUGAUAUAAUUUUCGAGUUUAGAUAUUACAUUGGAAGUAUUCUAGUUUCCCUGGCUAGGGAAGGUACAGGACUGAGGUGGAUAAGACUUCAAACCCAUCCUCAACAGCACUUACAUAGUAGGUGGGGAAGGCUAUUUCAUUAGGUAGAGGAGGAGUGGGUCUUGCAUUUACAAACUUGCCUCCAAGCUAAACAUGUAAUGCAAACAAUGACGAAACAUAGCAAACAUCAUGGAACAUGGAAACCAUGGCUGAUAUGUCUGAGAGUUCAUAAUCAUAUGAACAAACCACGUUUCUCUCUGCAACAGAAAAAGGUUGCUUUUUUGGACUACAAUAAUCCUCCAAUGGCUAGGCUGGUUGGUGAAUUCUGGAAGUUGUAGUCCAAAAGCAAUUUUUCCAGGCACUGUUGCAUAGUGGGACCAAGUUUCUUGCCCUCUUCAUAACAUCCUUGUUAUUCAUUCCACACUGUAGGUCUGAACUGGGAGUAAUAUAAGUUUCUAAAUCAUUGGG